AGUGAGGAAAGAGAUAUCCUUUGUUGAGUCAACCAUGGUCUUCGGUGAACGUGCAGCUGCAUGCAUGCAGCACCAGCGGCAGCAGCUUCCUUUGCAUGUAAGGAAGUGGUAGUUACCUAGUAGCUUCCUAGUAGUACGCUUAGAUGGUGCAAGGAACUUACCUAGAGGUUUCCUUGAUAGUACAUGGUAGUUUCGUGUGUGUUGUGCACGUCCAGCACAUAGUCGGUUUUAGAACCACUAUAUAAGGGGCAGCUCCCCAUCGUUGUAAGAUAAGGCCAUUCCAAGUUUGCAAUACCAGGCAUUUCCUCCUUCUAGUACCAUCGUGUGUGCUCCAAGCCUCAAGUGCUGUGUAUUACUACUACUGCUAUUAGUGUGUGUAUGUGAUACACUAGUGAGUGUGUGAGUAGUACGUGUGUGUGCUCAUCUGCCGGUCGUUUAUCAGUGUACUCAAGUGCUAGCGAGUACUUCUGGGCUAACAAUUGGCAUCAGAGCCUCAGGUUGUGGUAGCCAUGGCCGGUGCAAAAGGAGUGCAGCAGCGCACCACAUCGGGUGGUUCCCAGUCGUGGCUAUCACAGGACGGCUCCCGGCGAGGGCGCAGCUGGUCCAGGCAUGGCCAUCGCGGUGAAGUCGUGGUUAGGGAGAUCGUGCGCGAGACCGCAUUCAGCGGUAGCGUACCCAUCACCUUCCCGAUGCUCAUGCGCUCGAACUACAGCGAGUGGGCAUUGAUCAUGGAGUGCAACCUCCAUGCGGCGAGCCUCUGGGCUCCCAUGGAGGAUGACCUGGUCGAGAGAAAGGAGGACAGGAAAGCCGUGGCGGCGCUUAUGCGUGCCACGCUGCCGGAGAUGCACGGCAUGCUCGCGGCGAAGGCAAGCGCCAAGGAGGCGUGGGAAGCCAUCCGUACCCAGCGCCUCGGCAGCAACCGCGUGCGUGAGGCGAACGCGCAGAAGCUACGGGCGGACUUCGAGAACAUCGCCUUCAAGGAGGGCGAGCUCGUCGAUGACUUCGCCAUGCGGAUCUCUAGCGUUGCGUCACAACUCUGAGCGCUCGGCGACACCAUGGACGAUGCGAGAGUCGUGCGGAAAUUUCUCCGCGUCGUGCCACCUCGCUUCGCUCAGGUAGCGGUCUCCAUCGAGACCUUGCUUGACCUGAGUGAGCUCUCCAUCGAGGAGCUCACGGGCCGGUUGCGGGUGGUCGAGGACCGCAUUGACGACGGCCGCGAGACCUUCGGCGGCGGACAACUCCUAUUCUCGAAGAAGUGGGAGGCGAGGAAGCGUCAAGGACGUGGUGGCGGUGCCCAGAGCAAUGGAGGUGGCACCGGCAGAGGCGGUGGUCGCACCCAGGGUGGAGCCGGACGAGGUGCCGGCAACGAUGACCGAGACAAGUGCCGAUAUUGCAGCAUCAAGGGCCACUGGGCCCGUGAGUGCCGCAAGAGGAUGGCUGACGAGGAUGCCGCAGCCGCGGCGAACCUCGUCCAGGCUGAAGAGGACUGUGGGUCAGCAAUGAUGAUGGCUUGCAUCGAGACCAUGCAGGAAGGCGCAACGCCUCCGGAGACCAUGGUCCCGACAAGCAUCGAAGCCGUGCAGGAGGGCGAAGCACCUCGGGCGACCACGGUGCCGGCAACCGUCAAGUCCGUGCGGGAGGCACGGAGCUCUUCAAGUAAACCCCUCCCGACAUCGGUAGCGCUCUCCCCGACAACAACAUUCUCGGGGGCCUACGACUGCAUGGAGAUGAAGACCCGGGUGUGGGGGAGCCACACCCCGGCAACCACAUCCCUUGUGACGCUGGUCAAGCCCGUGCAAGUUGGCACGACAAUCACGGCCCCGACAUCCUCGGGACCCGACAAGCCCGUGCAAGUUGGCACGGCAAAGACGUCGCCGACAUCCUCGGGACCCAACAAGCCCGUGUCAGGAGGCACGGCAACGACGCAUAUGGUGGGCCACGUCUCAACCAUGAUGCUGGCGACUAGUGAGCCCGUGCAAGAGGCACGGCACUCAGGUCGGCCACACCCCAACAACCAGGUUCUCGGGGUUCUGCAAGCCCGUGUGGGCAACACGACACUCUUCGACAAGCCUCAACUGGGGGGCGAUGAAGAGACGGUCAUGGGGCGACAAGGCCUCGACCAUGACUAUGGCGACCGUCGAGACCGUGCAGGAGCCACGGUGCUCUAUGGUCGGCCACACCAUGACCUCGACAUGUUUGGGGUCCAUCGAGUCCAUGCGGGAGGCACGACACUCUCUGGUCGGGCACGCCCCGACCACACUGGUGGCGACUGUCGAGACCGUGCAGGAGGCAUGGUGCUUUGUGGUCGGUCACACUGCAGCCCCGACGCGCUCAGGGUCCGUUGAGUCCGUGCGGGAGGCACGACUCACGACUGUCGGGGGAGACCUGACAAGCAAGUCUGAUGAGAAGAAUGACAAGGACUCCGCUUUCCUAGGAAAAGCCACUCUUGUCAGUGCGGCGCCCGGCACAACAACCCUGGGAAGGGAGUUCCCGGGUAAUGCGAAGUCCGACAAGUCAUCCACAGGAAGUGAGUUUCUGGGUAGCAUGACGUCCGACACGACGACCCCGGGAAGGGAGUUCCCGGGCAGUGUGACGUCAGGAACUAUGACCCCAGCAAGAUUGACGCCCACAAGCGAGGUGGUUGCUGGGCAGUUCAUGUCCCCGCCAACAGCGCGGUCGGACCUGUUCGAUGCCGACAACAACGUUGGCGCUCCACAUAGGUUCCGACGCCUAGGGGGAUCUUCUCGGCGAACCUGCGGGACGACUGCAGCACCCUGAGAUCAAGAAGGACGAGCACGGCGCCUUCAUCAAGCACAAGGUACGGCUCGUCACGAAAGGUUACGUACAGCGCGCGGGGGAGGACUUGCUCGCUCUGGUGGCAAAGCACGAGCAGGGCGUACGGGCUACACAAAGCCCCAGAAGACGGAUAUCCCGACGAAGGGAACGUCCGGUUUCACAAGUUGCACGAUAAAGUUGGAAUCGUCAACGUCAAACUCCUUCGACAAGGUUGAGGGGGAGAUUGUUGAGUCAACCAUGGUCUUCAGUGAACAUGCAGCUGCAUGCAUGCAGCACCAGCGGCAGCAGCUUCCUAUGCAUGUAAGGAAGUGGUAGUUACCUAGUAGUACGCUUAGAUGGUGCAAGGAACUUACCUAGAGGUUUCCUUGGUAGUACAUGGUAGUUUCGUGUGUGUUGUGCACGUCCAGCACAUAGUCGGUUUUAGAACCACUAUAUAAGGGGCAGGUCCCCAUCGUUGUAAGAUAAGGCCAUUCCAAGUUUGCAAUACCAGGCAUUUCCUCCUUCUAGUACCACCGUGUGUGCUCCAAGCCUCAAGUGCUGUGUACUACUACUACUGCUACUAGUGUGUGUAUGUGAUACACUAGUGAGUGUGUGAGUAGUAUGUGUGUGUGCUCAUCCGCCGGUCGUUUAUCAGUGUACUCGAGUGCUAGCGAGUAGUUCUGGGCUAACAUCCUUCACUGAGAAGGUCGAGGAAGAUGGACGCCGGUAGAAAGGAUGAGACUCAUCAAAAGUGACAUCCUGAGAAAUACGCAUCCGACGACCAACAAGACCCCAACAAAUAUGCA
This 3581-nucleotide ribosomal RNA is filed under the name Triticum aestivum (bread wheat). RNAcentral describes it as "partial small subunit ribosomal RNA". Lineage: Eukaryota; Viridiplantae; Streptophyta; Magnoliopsida; Poales; Poaceae. The record is from RNAcentral.